AACUCAAAGGAAUUGACGGGGACCCGCACAAGCGGUGGAGCAUGUGGUUUAAUUCGAUGCAACGCGAAAAACCUUACCACUCCUUGACAUGGAGAUUAGAUCCUUCUUAACGGAAGGGCGCAGUUCGGCUGGAUCUCGCACAGGUGCUGCAUGGCUGUCGUCAGCUCGUGUCGUGAGAUGUUGGGUUAAGUCCCGCAACGAGCGUAACCCUCAUCCUUAGUUACCAGCGGGUAAGCCGGGCACUUUAAGGAAACUGCCGGUGGUAAACCGGAGGAAGGUGGGGAUGAUGUCAAGUCAGCACGGCCCUUAUGGGGUGGGCUACACACGUGCUACAAUGGUGACUACAAUAGGUUGCAAUGUCGCAAGGCUGAGCUAAUCCGUAAAAGUCAUCUCAGUUCGGAUUGUCCUCUGCAACUCGAGGGCAUGAAGUCGGAAUCGCUAGUAAUCGUGGAUCAGCAUGCCACGGUGAAUACGUUCUCGGGUCUUGUACACACUGCCCGUCACGCCAUGGGAAUUGGCUUAACUCGAAGCUGGUGCGC
RNAcentral lists this ribosomal RNA (539 nucleotides) under uncultured Anaplasma sp. RNAcentral describes it as "bacterial SSU rRNA". It matches the Rfam family "Bacterial small subunit ribosomal RNA", at positions 898 to 1435 of the family's 1533-position model. The record is from RNAcentral. Lineage: Bacteria; Pseudomonadati; Pseudomonadota; Alphaproteobacteria; Rickettsiales; Anaplasmataceae.